GUGCAGCAGGCGCGAAAACUCCGCAAUGCGCGAAAGCGUGACGGGGUCACCCCGAGUGCCGUCCGCUGAGGAUGGCUUUUCUCUGCUGUAAGAAGGCAGAGGAAUAAGGAGAGGGCAAGUCUGGUGUCAGCCGCCGCGGUAAUACCAGCUCUCCGAGUGGUAGGGAUGAUUAUUGGGCUUAAAGCGUCCGUAGCUGGCCUUUCAAGUCUCUUGUUAAAUCCAGCGAUUCAAUCGUUGGACUGCGGGAGAUACUGUUAGGCUAGGGGGCGGGAGAAGCCGACGGUAUUUCCGGGGUAGGGGUAAAAUCCUAUAAUCCCGGGAAGACCACCAGUGGCGUAGGCGGUCGGCUAGCACGCGCUCGACAGUGAGGGACGAAAGCUGGGGGAGCGAACGGGAUUAGAUAUGAAGUUGAGUUUUUACCAGCUUCACUAGAUACCCCUGUAGUCC
RNAcentral lists this ribosomal RNA (447 nucleotides) under uncultured archaeon. Its description in RNAcentral is "partial 16S ribosomal RNA". It matches the Rfam family "Archaeal small subunit ribosomal RNA", at positions 330 to 747 of the family's 1478-position model. The record is from RNAcentral.